GCCCCGGUGGUGUAGUUGUAGCACACGUCCGCGGUAUGGAUGAAACGCGGGCUCGACUCCCGCUUGAGGUU
Non-coding RNA from Parelaphostrongylus tenuis, 71 nucleotides. The record is from the annotation of a GenBank genome assembly. Lineage: Eukaryota; Metazoa; Nematoda; Chromadorea; Rhabditida; Metastrongylidae.